AUUGAUUCAGGUAUAACGGAGAAGCCCGUGGUUCAGCCGGUAAUUGACACUGCAGUGGAUGCUGAAGUCCCAGCAAAUAGGGUUGAACUUGGAGAACUCGAAAAGUGAUGAGGAGCUGAACAGCCCUGGAAGAAGUAGCGAUGAAGAAUCUUUUUUUUUGGAAGCCGGAUGAAGAAUCUUUUUUUUGGGCCUCUUCUUUUUGUAAAUAAUAAAUAUGUUGCAUAUAUGUAAAGUUGUUUUGAGAAAGGUUUUGUUAUUUGAACUUUUGUUUAAUACGCUGGUACAAAUUUGUUUAGUUAUAGAGAGGCCAUGGGC
This 315-nucleotide long non-coding RNA is filed under the name Malus domestica (apple). RNAcentral describes it as "long non-coding RNA (MDOM_LNC010941)". Lineage: Eukaryota; Viridiplantae; Streptophyta; Magnoliopsida; Rosales; Rosaceae. The record is from RNAcentral.